UACGAAGGGGGCUAGCGUUGUUCGGAAUUACUGGGCGUAAAGCGCGCGCAGGCGGCCUUUCAAGUCAGGGGUGAAAGCCCAGAGCUCAACUCUGGAAUUGCCCUGGAAACUGUCAGGCUUGAGUACGGGAGAGGUGAGUGGAAUUCCCAGUGUAGAGGUGAAAUGCGUAGAUAUGGGGAAGAACACCGGUGGCGAAGGCGGCUCAAUGGCCCGUUUCUGACGCUCAGGCGCGACAGCGUGGGGAUCAAACAGG
RNAcentral lists this unclassified non-coding RNA (253 nucleotides) under uncultured Alphaproteobacteria bacterium. RNAcentral's name for it is "contains 16S-23S intergenic spacer region". It matches the Rfam family "Bacterial small subunit ribosomal RNA", at positions 524 to 776 of the family's 1533-position model. The record is from RNAcentral. Lineage: Bacteria; Pseudomonadati; Pseudomonadota; Alphaproteobacteria.